This 796-nucleotide long non-coding RNA is filed under the name Mytilus galloprovincialis (Mediterranean mussel). The record is from RNAcentral. Lineage: Eukaryota; Metazoa; Mollusca; Bivalvia; Mytilida; Mytilidae.
GGUCAGUCUAAUACGACACUUAAGAAAGACGUUCACAAAACAUAGAGCCCAUAUCAUAUGAUUCUAUGAGAACAAGAAAGGCGACAGCGUUGUUUCUAUUAAUUCAAAUGGAACAAGAAGAGCAGGUAUUACAGGCUCAUGAUUUACUUUUACAAAUAAAAUAUUAUUUUUGUCAAUUUUUCAUAUCAAAUAACAUAAUGAAAAUCAUAAAACGCGCCUCGUAUACCAACACUGCAGGUACACGUAUAUAGGGAAACCAACUUUUUCUUCAUUAUUCUGAUUUUUUAUGUAUCGUCUGAGAUGUUGUCACACGAAUGUUUACUCCAUAAACAUUUUGUUUUCUAUAUGUCAUAUUUUGCCGCAUUUGUUGUUUUCCCCACAUCCUUCCUUUAGUCUAUAUUAUUAUGAUAUUCUCCUGGAAAGAGCUCUUUUUGAAUAAAAGGGAUCAACGAACCCAUUACCUUACCUUUAAGAUAGAUCAGUAAACAUGGGCAUAAUUAUGGGUGAUUAUUCAGACUAGUGCACACAUUUUACAGUUCAAACAAGGCAAUGCCGAGCGUGGCAUGCCCUCGUAUGUAACAUAUUGGGGACAAAUAUGGACACUAUAUUUGUAUAUGACACAUGCAGAAAAUGGUAAAUUGAAUACGCAUUUUGAUACAUAAACUAUUUUUUUAGAAAUCAACCAAAUUAUUCAGUAACUGGAAAUACCCACGGUCUUCCGUCUUAUGAUUAAACCAAAAAUUAAAUGUACAAUAUAAUAUAUAUUCAAUAUUGAUCAAACAAUUUAAAACGCGUG